RNAcentral lists this unclassified non-coding RNA (1079 nucleotides) under leaf metagenome. Its description in RNAcentral is "partial contains internal transcribed spacer 1, 5.8S ribosomal RNA, internal transcribed spacer 2, and large subunit ribosomal RNA". The stretch from base 493 to 1079 matches the Rfam family "Eukaryotic large subunit ribosomal RNA", at positions 1 to 599 of the family's 3401-position model. The record is from RNAcentral.
UUAAUGAGUCUAAAAAACUCCAACCCGUGUCUACCAUACCUGUUCGUUGCCUCGGCGGUCAAGCCUGGCGCUCCUCCUCUGGAAGAGCUGCCGGCGGCCACCGUCGGGGGUUCCAAACCCUGAUUUUUAGUGUAUCUCUGAGACAAAAAACAAAUAAUUAAAACUUUCAACAACGGAUCUCUUGGUUCUGGCAUCGAUGAAGAACGCAGCGAAAUGCGAUAAGUAAUGUGAAUUGCAGAAUUCAGUGAAUCAUCGAAUCUUUGAACGCACAUUGCGCCCCCUGGUAUUCCGGGGGGCAUGCCUGUUCGAGCGUCAUUUCAACCCUCAGGCCCAGCCUGGUGUUGGGGCGGCGGGCCCAUCAGCGGCCCCGCGCCCCCAAGUCCAUCGGCGGGACCGUCGGGACCCUGAGCGCAGUAGCACGCGGUAAAACGCGCCUCGCUCGGCGGCCCCCGGCGCUGCCCCGGCCGCUAAACCCCCCAAAUUUUACAAGGUUGACCUCGGAUCAGGUAGGAAUACCCGCUGAACUUAAGCAUAUCAAUAAGCGGAGGAAAAGAAACCAACAGGGAUUGCCUCAGUAACGGCGAGUGAAGCGGCAACAGCUCAAAUUUGAAAUCUGGCCCCAGGCCCGAGUUGUAAUUUGCAGAGGAUGCUUUUGGCGACGCGCGCACCGAGUCCCCUGGAAUGGGGCGCCGCAGAGGGUGAGAGCCCCGUAUGGUGCGACGCCGAGCCUCUGUAAAGCUCCUUCGACGAGUCGAGUAGUUUGGGAAUGCUGCUCUAAACGGGAGGUAAAUUUCUUCUAAAGCUAAAUAUUGGCCAGAGACCGAUAGCGCACAAGUAGAGUGAUCGAAAGAUGAAAAGCACUUUGAAAAGAGGGUUAAAAAGCACGUGAAAUUGUUGAAAGGGAAGCGCUAGUGACCAGACUUGCGCCCUGGGGAUCAUCCGGCGUUCUCGCCGGUGCACUCCCCAGGGCUCAGGCCAGCAUCGGUUUUCGCCGGGGGACAAAAGCUUCGGGAACGUGGCCCCCCUUCGGGGGGGUGUUAUAGCCCGUGGCAUAAUACCCCGGCGGGACCGAGGACCGC